CCCAUAUGGUCGACCUGCAGGCGGCCGCGAAUUCACUAGUGAUUAGAGUUUGAUCAUGGCUCAGAUUGAACGCUGGCGGUAUGCUUUACACAUGCAAGUCGAACGGGUCAAGAAGCUUGCUUCUUGGUUAGUGGCGAACGGGUGAGUAAUAUAUCGGAACAUAUCCGGAAGUGGGGGAUAACGUAGCGAAAGUUACGCUAAUACCGCAUAUGCCCUGAGGGGGAAAGGGGGGGAUCGCAAGACCUCUCGCUUUCGGAGUGGCCGAUACCGGAUUAGCUAGAUGGUGAGGUAAAAGCUCACCAUGGCGACGAUCCGUAGCUGGUCUGAGAGGACGACCAGCCACACUGGAACUGAGACACGGUCCAGACUCCUACGGGAGGCAGCAGUGGGGAAUUUUGGACAAUGGGCGAAAGCCUGAUCCAGCCAUACCGCGUGAGUGAAGAAGGCCUUCGGGUUGUAAAGCUCUUUCAGCCGGAAAGAAAUUGCUUCUAUUAAUACUAGGAGUAG
RNAcentral lists this ribosomal RNA (507 nucleotides) under uncultured beta proteobacterium. RNAcentral describes it as "bacterial SSU rRNA". It matches the Rfam family "Bacterial small subunit ribosomal RNA", at positions 1 to 471 of the family's 1533-position model. Lineage: Bacteria; Pseudomonadati; Pseudomonadota; Betaproteobacteria. The record is from RNAcentral.